AGCGAACGCUGGCGGCAGGCUUAACACAUGCAAGUCGAGCGGACCUUUCGGGGUCAGCGGCGGACGGGUGAGUAACGCGUGGGAACGUGCCUUCCGGAUCGGAAUAACCCUGGGAAACUAGGGCUAAUACCGGAUACGCCUUCAGGGGGACAGGUUUACUGCGGGAAGAUCGGCCCGCGUCUGAUUAGGUCGUUGGUGGGGUAACGGCCUACCAAGGCGACGAUCAGUAGCUGGUCUGAGAGGAUGGUCAGCCACACUUGGACGGCGACACGGCGCAGACUCCUACGCGAGGCGGCAGUGCGGGAUAUUGGAAAAUGGGGGGAAGGCUGAUCCAGUCAUGCCGGGUGAGUGAUGAAGGCCGUAGGGUUGUAAAGCUCUUUUAUACGGGACGGUAAUGGCGGUACCGGAAGAAUAAGCCCCGGCUAACUUCGUG
This 433-nucleotide ribosomal RNA is filed under the name uncultured bacterium. Its description in RNAcentral is "partial 16S ribosomal RNA". It matches the Rfam family "Bacterial small subunit ribosomal RNA", at positions 30 to 507 of the family's 1533-position model. The record is from RNAcentral.